This 1411-nucleotide ribosomal RNA is filed under the name Lactiplantibacillus plantarum. RNAcentral's name for it is "bacterial SSU rRNA". It matches the Rfam family "Bacterial small subunit ribosomal RNA", at positions 59 to 1436 of the family's 1533-position model. The record is from RNAcentral. Lineage: Bacteria; Bacillati; Bacillota; Bacilli; Lactobacillales; Lactobacillaceae.
AAGUCGAACGAACUCUGGUAUUGAUUGGUGCUUGCAUCAUGAUUUACAUUUGAGUGAGUGGCGAACUGGUGAGUAACACGUGGGAAACCUGCCCAGAAGCGGGGGAUAACACCUGGAAACAGAUGCUAAUACCGCAUAACAACUUGGACCGCAUGGUCCGAGUUUGAAAGAUGGCUUCGGCUAUCACUUUUGGAUGGUCCCGCGGCGUAUUAGCUAGAUGGUGGGGUAACGGCUCACCAUGGCAAUGAUACGUAGCCGACCUGAGAGGGUAAUCGGCCACAUUGGGACUGAGACACGGCCCAAACUCCUACGGGAGGCAGCAGUAGGGAAUCUUCCACAAUGGACGAAAGUCUGAUGGAGCAACGCCGCGUGAGUGAAGAAGGGUUUCGGCUCGUAAAACUCUGUUGUUAAAGAAGAACAUAUCUGAGAGUAACUGUUCAGGUAUUGACGGUAUUUAACCAGAAAGCCACGGCUAACUACGUGCCAGCAGCCGCGGUAAUACGUAGGUGGCAAGCGUUGUCCGGAUUUAUUGGGCGUAAAGCGAGCGCAGGCGGUUUUUUAAGUCUGAUGUGAAAGCCUUCGGCUCAACCGAAGAAGUGCAUCGGAAACUGGGAAACUUGAGUGCAGAAGAGGACAGUGGAACUCCAUGUGUAGCGGUGAAAUGCGUAGAUAUAUGGAAGAACACCAGUGGCGAAGGCGGCUGUCUGGUCUGUAACUGACGCUGAGGCUCGAAAGUAUGGGUAGCAAACAGGAUUAGAUACCCUGGUAGUCCAUACCGUAAACGAUGAAUGCUAAGUGUUGGAGGGUUUCCGCCCUUCAGUGCUGCAGCUAACGCAUUAAGCAUUCCGCCUGGGGAGUACGGCCGCAAGGCUGAAACUCAAAGGAAUUGACGGGGGCCCGCACAAGCGGUGGAGCAUGUGGUUUAAUUCGAAGCUACGCGAAGAACCUUACCAGGUCUUGACAUACUAUGCAAAUCUAAGAGAUUAGACGUUCCCUUCGGGGACAUGGAUACAGGUGGUGCAUGGUUGUCGUCAGCUCGUGUCGUGAGAUGUUGGGUUAAGUCCCGCAACGAGCGCAACCCUUAUUAUCAGUUGCCAGCAUUAAGUUGGGCACUCUGGUGAGACUGCCGGUGACAAACCGGAGGAAGGUGGGGAUGACGUCAAAUCAUCAUGCCCCUUAUGACCUGGGCUACACACGUGCUACAAUGGAUGGUACAACGAGUUGCGAACUCGCGAGAGUAAGCUAAUCUCUUAAAGCCAUUCUCAGUUCGGAUUGUAGGCUGCAACUCGCCUACAUGAAGUCGGAAUCGCUAGUAAUCGCGGAUCAGCAUGCCGCGGUGAAUACGUUCCCGGGCCUUGUACACACCGCCCGUCACACCAUGAGAGUUUGUAACACCCAAAGUCGGUGGGGU